AGCAAAGCCACAGGGACAGAGCCGCCCAAGGCCAUGUGAACUGACCUCCUACAUCAGCAUAACCUGGAUGUGAGACACGGAGUCAAAGGAUACCAUUUUGGAGCUUUAAAAUUUGACUGCCCCACUGGAUUUUGGACUUGCGUGGGCCCUUGUAACCUCAUUAUUUUGGCCAAUUUCUCCCAUGUGGAAUGACUAUUUACCUAAUAUCUGUACCCCAUUGUAUGUAGGAAGUAACUAGCUUGCUUUUAAUUUUAUAGGCUCAUAGGUGGAAGGGGCAUGCCUUGUCUCAGAUGAGACUUUGGACUGUGGACUUUUGAGUUAAUGCUGAAAUGAGUUAAGACUUUGGGGGACUGUUGGGAAGGCAUGAUUGGUACUGAUAUGUGAGGACAUGAGAUUUGGAGGGACCAGGGGUUGGAUGAUAUAGUUUGGCUGUGUCCUCACCCAAAUCUCAACUAGAAUUGUUUCUCCCAGGAUUCCCACAUGUUGUGGGAGGGACCCAGGGUGAGGUAAUUGAAUCAUGGGGGCUGGUCUUUUCUGUGAUAUUUUCGUGGUAGUGAAUUAAGUCUCAUGAGAUCUGAUGGGUUUAUCAGGGUUUCCACUUUUGUUUUUUUUUUUCUUACUGCUGCCAUGCAAGAAGUGCCUUUCCUCUCCUGCCAUGAUUAUGAAGUCUCCCCGGCCAUGUGAAACUGUGAGCCCGAUUAAACUUCUUACUCUUCCCAGUCUCAGAUUCCUUCAGUUAGAGUGCCUCUGAAAGAUAUGGUGUAUUCCAGCUGGCAUUGAGACAACCUAAAGUUUAAACCGUUGGGUGAUAAAGGUAAAACAAGUGGAAGAAGUUCAAUUUAUAUGGCAGUUUCGUAGGUUGAUUUGUUCAUUCAUUUAUUGAUUCAUCCGUUCAUCAAAUAUAUUGAGUACACCCAUGUACCAAGUAAUAUGCUUUGAUCUAAAUAGAGCUCAUAUCAAUGUGUUCUCCUUUUAAACAUUUCUGACAUGUGUCAAGCUGUUAGAUAGAAAUAGAUAACUUAAACAGACAUCUUUGUGGUAACCACUAAACUUUAUCAUUUUUCAAUAUUUGAUUCAGAAAUGUGUAAAAAGAAAUAAAAUAUUGGAGUUUACCUUUCCUGUUCCUAUUGCCUUCACUUAUUCCCGUGAGGCAAUUGACACCCUUCAAUGAUAUAUUUUCAUCCAUUUUCUACAUAUGCAUGUAUCUAUACCAAAGUAUAAGAUUGAUUUGCAUGUUUUAAAAUUCCAAAUACAUUGCAUAUCAGUAGUAAUAUUCUAACUGUGUCAUUCUGCAACCUGAUUUUUUUUUUUGCUCAAAAAUGUUUUUGAGCUUAAAUCCAUAUUUAUACAAGUAACUUUACUUCUUGCAUUUAAAUUUCUAUACACUUUUCUAUUAUUUGAAUAUUCCACAGUUUCCCUGUUGAUAUGGUUUGGAUCUAUGUCUUCACCAAAUCUUAUGUCAAAUUGUAAUCACCAGUGUUGGAGGUGGGGACUAGUGGGAGGCGACAGGAUCAUGGAGGCAGAUUUUUCAUGAAUGGCUUGGUACCAUCCCUCUUGGUACUGUCCUCGUGAUUGUGAGUGAGUUUUUGAGAGAUCUUGCUAUUUAAAAGUGUGUAGCACCUCCUCCACCACUCUCUCUCUUGUUCCUGCCCCUGCCAUGUAAGAUGUGCCUGCUUUUCAUUCACCUUCCACGAUGACUGUACAUUUCCUGAAGCCUCCCAGAAGGAGAGAAGAUGCCAGCAUCAUGCUUCCUAUACAGCCUGAAGAAUAGUAAGCCAGUUAAACCUCUUUUCAUUAUAAAUUACCCAAUCUCUGAUAUUCUUUAUAGCAAUUCAAGAAUGGGCUAACACACCUAUUCUCUUGCUGAUGUAUAUUAGAGUCUGUCUGUUU
Long non-coding RNA from Callithrix jacchus (white-tufted-ear marmoset), 1890 nucleotides. The record is from Ensembl. Lineage: Eukaryota; Metazoa; Chordata; Mammalia; Primates; Cebidae.